CCUACGGGAGGCAGCAGUGAGGAAUAUUGGUCAAUGGGCGGGAGCCUGAACCAGCCAAGUAGCGUGAAGGAUGACUGCCCUACGGGUUGUAAACUUCUUUUAUAAAGGAAUAAAGUGAGGCACGUGAGCCUUUUUGUGUGUACUUUAUGAAUAGGCAUCGGCUAACUCCGUGCCAGCAGCCGCGGUAAUACGGAGGAUUCGAGCGUUAUCCGGAUUUAUUGGGUUUAAAGGGAGCGUAGAUGGGUUGUUAAGUCAGUUGUGAAAGUUUGCGGCUCAACCGUAAAAUUGCAAUUGAUACUGGCUGCCUUGAGUACAGUUGAGGUAGGCGGAAUUCGUGGUGUAGCGGUGAAAUGCUUAGAUAUCACGCAGAACUCCGAUUGCGAAGGCAGCUUACUAACCUCCCACUGACAUUGAUGCACGAAAGUGUGGGUAUCGAACAGGAUUAGAUACCCGGGUAGUC
RNAcentral lists this ribosomal RNA (460 nucleotides) under uncultured bacterium. RNAcentral describes it as "partial 16S ribosomal RNA". It matches the Rfam family "Bacterial small subunit ribosomal RNA", at positions 338 to 795 of the family's 1533-position model. The record is from RNAcentral.